Molecule: ribosomal RNA, 115 nt
Filed under: Pteropus alecto (black flying fox)
Lineage: Eukaryota; Metazoa; Chordata; Mammalia; Chiroptera; Pteropodidae
Source: RNAcentral
GUCUACGGCUAUGCUACCCUGAACAAGCCCAAUCCUGUCUGAUCUCGGAAGCUAAGGAGGGUUGGGCCUGGUUAGUGCCUGGAUGGGAGACCAGGAAGACCAGGUACUGUAGGUG